UACACGCCUGAGGAGGAUGUGGAGAAGAAAGGAAAUUCAUCAAAAGGAAGAGGAGGAAAAGAGAAAAAAAAAAAAAAAGAAAUGGAGAAAAAAAAAAAAGGAAGAGAAAGGAAAUGAGAGGCGGAAAAAAAAAACUGGGGGAAAAAAAGACAACUUUUUGAGACUGGAAUUAAAACCCGAGCCCGAAGCCCGGCCGGCCGCAGCUCCGGGGAUGCCUUUUGACGCCAGGGAGGCGCCGGGGGUUCACCCGACGUGAUGCUCCGCGCGUUUUCUGGGUGGAGGAUCAUGGGUCCCCGACCUCCAUGAAAGCUCGCAGGGAAUUUCCCGGUGGGCUCACUCUAACGCCAACCCGGGAGUGGGGGCUGUAUGGAAAAAAUCCAAAAGCCACGAGCCCCCGGCCGUGUGGGAGCUGCCAGCAGGACCUGUCUUGCAGGACCCUCAGCAGAAGCCCCUCACCAUGGCUCAUCCCGUGUGCACCCUCCUCCUCCUCCUCCUCCUGCCAGCAGACCCUGGCCCGGAGCACGGCGUAGAUCCCGAUUUUCACCAGCAUCCACCCAGGCUGCUCGGGGCCAGCACCGGCCUUCGCCGUUGGGGACACCAGCACCGGUUUGGGGAUGGAUGGGAUGGAGAGGACACCGGGACAUCCCCAUCCCGUCGCCGCUCAUCACCCCGUGGGCCGCACGCCGCAGCCUGGCCGGAAAAAAAAAAAAACAACAGCAAAAAACCAACCAACAAACCACCCUUUUCACCCCCAAUUGCUGGUUGCGGAGCCUCAUGACUCCACGGCAGCAUUCCUGGGACGUUCCCGACGCGGGGUGGUAUGUGCAGAAUUCCGAAGAGCGGCACGUGGCUCCACGUCUCUCAUCCGCUCCCCCAGCUGGACUCAAGUGAUUUGGGAGAAACUCCAGGACGGAGCAGUGAGAUUUAUUAUUGCUACCAGUAACGAUGAUCUCCGGGUAGCACCCGCAGGCCCAGGUAGGUGUGUGGGCUUGGUGAUGAAGGAAGAGGUGUCCUCCUGUCUCUCCCUUCCAAAAUUUACUGGCUUUGUUGGUAAAAAAGAGAGCAAUUUUGGGGAAAAGUCUCAUUGACCAGCCAAGGUUGAGCGAGUCAAACCCAAACCUGGCUUGUCCCGGUGCUCCCCAGCCAUGGAAAUGGGCAGAUCUUCACAAAACCGGCUCCCCGGAGGUUUUCGCUAGAAGGGUGAUGGGCUUCGAGAGUCUAAACUCAGCCUGGGAGAGGGUUUGGGUCCUGUGGGCUUCGCUCCCUCGGCAGGGAUGGCUUUGCCUGAGGACUCGGGUCCCGGGAGCAGCUUCGGUGCCAGGGAUGCGCUCGGGAGCGUUCAGCUCCCCUUGAGACCGCAUGGAGAAGGGCAAGACUUCAUAAAAAUUAACUUCCUCGCCUCUCCCUGCCCGAAUCCUUUGGGCCGUGUUUUUCAAGGUUUCAACCUGUAAAAAUACGGUUAUUGCUUUUUUUUUUUUUUUUUUAAAUGUGAUUUCUCCUCCGUGUUUAUCACCCGCCUCUGGAAUCUCGGGCUUUAGCGCGGUGCUUUAUGAGACUGGCAGUUGUUGGCCCUGGAGCAAAGCACGUCCAUCACCGGGUUGGCCCCACGGCCACCUGGAGAGACGAGGGAAAUCGGAGAGUCCUCAAUAUUGAACGUCUUUACACCAGUUCUGGGAAGAUCCCCUGCCUACCUGCCACUCUUUCUUUUCCUCAAAAUACCCGAAUGUAUUUUUUUUUUUAUUUAUUUAAUUUUUUCUACCUAUGGACGUCAGCUAGAUGUGGCCACGGACCGAAAGCUGGCAGCUCGUUUUUCUCUUGGCUCGGGCAUCCCGAGGUUGCUCAGCCUGCGGAGGCCGCGUUUCAGUAAACGCCGCUGCCAGCCCCCUUCCCUUUCCCGGGAUUAAGACAAGGCAAACGCCUUCCCUUUGGGUUUAAUUCCAAAUACCUGAUUUUUGACGGCGUUUGCCGGCACGGUGCGCGCACAGUGCACACGCGCUUGCAACAAUGGCCAGGUAGCUUGCACGGCUAAAUCACUCUGGAUAUUUUUUUUUUUUUUUUAUUUUUUUUACAUUAUAACCUCCUUUUAAAGCAGGUUUAAAUGCUUCCCCGCGGGCUCGCGCGAGGGCCGUUAAGGGCUUCAUUUGAAUAAAUAAGUGCAUAGGUACAGGAGGAACAUCACCAUAACCCCCCGGAAACCCCAGCGACGGCAUCAGAGGACGGGCGAGCGGGAGAAGGGGCCCGACGUUAUGUAUUCCAUAAAGUAGAGUAAUUAAGUAGUACUAGUUUUGAUGACUUCAAACGGAGUGACUCCAGGAAAUAAGCCCCUUCUUUAUAAUUAGCGGGAUUUCCUCCGCAUCAAACGGAGAGAUUGAUUCUUUAAUCUGCUCACAUGCUUUUGAUUUGGUCUUUCAGCUGCUUGUACCAACUGCUUCCACUCCCGGCUCUUGCCGAUAAAACCUUGCAAAGGAGAUUUUAGGGAGGCAUGACCCGAGUUGAGGUCCGGGAUUUUCUUGGUGUGUGGCUGUUUUUGCCAGAGGUGAUGAUCCUGAUGAUAGCAAUAAUAAAAAAAUAACAUAGACCCCGAUUUUUAACAUCCGCGUACUUUUAGGUCAAAUAAUGGGGGUUUGGGGUUUCUUUUUGUUGUUGUUUUCUCUUCCCGGCGCGUUUAUUAGCUCUUUAAGCUCAUUUUGGCUGCCUGUCCACUGUCCCAAGCGGGGCUUACUGCAAAAUCUUCCUCUUUUAAGAGAUCCCAGACCUAACGCCGGGGUCUGGCCGGGCUUUCAGCAUUUCAAGGCCCCGGUUGAAGUAAGGACUCAAUUUCUUAAGGAUUCGGGACGCGCAGAGGGAAGAGGCCCCUUUUCUUGACUAUUUUAAUUGCUUGGUCCUGAUUUAGGACUAAUCCCAGGAACUUUGGAAGCUCCGUCGGAAAUAAAAUCCCCCCGAAAUGUUGCCGCUUUCCAAAUGAGGAGUUCGGGGGCGCGGGGGGCGGGGGGGGAAGCAAGAACUUGCCCCCCCUGGAUGCGUGAGAAGCCAAUUGUGAGCAACCAGCUCCGUCCUGGGCAUCUCCGUGGGGUUGGUGGCACCGUACCAGUCGUACGGGAAACGCAGAUCUGGGGGCUGUGCUGCUCCCAGGCAUGAACUGGACCUUCCCCACGCUGACCCCCCUCCAGAACAGCUGGGCUCUGGCGUCAUCAAAUCACAGAAUCUUUUAGGUUGGGAAAGAUCUUUGAGAUCAUCGCGUCCAACCGUCAACCCAGCGCAGCCAACUCCGCCACCAAACUUCUUUCUGGCAUAAAUGCCUGAAGAUCAAGACAGAAGCUUCAUGCAACCUUAAUUUAAUCUGGUCCUGCAGGAGCGGGGAAGGUCUGAUGGAUGACCCAACCUCGCGCCCGCCCGUGUUCAGCAAGGCUUGAGGCGGAGGGGAGCGGAGCGCCGGAGCGUGCCAAGCGGGAGGGAAAACCGGCGCCCGGGAUCAUCUGAACAGCAGGAAAAAAUAAAAAAAAAAAAAAAAAACCAAAACAAAAAAACCCCACGAAAAUAGAAAAA
Chroicocephalus ridibundus (black-headed gull) is the source of this 3546-nucleotide long non-coding RNA. RefSeq lists it as uncharacterized. The transcript has 6 exons. Lineage: Eukaryota; Metazoa; Chordata; Aves; Charadriiformes; Laridae. The record is from RefSeq and is a predicted model, not a curated record.